This 253-nucleotide ribosomal RNA is filed under the name uncultured bacterium. RNAcentral's name for it is "partial 16S ribosomal RNA". It matches the Rfam family "Bacterial small subunit ribosomal RNA", at positions 524 to 776 of the family's 1533-position model. The record is from RNAcentral.
UACGAAGGGGGCUAGCGUUGCUCGGAAUCACUGGGCGUAAAGCGCACGUAGGCGGCUUCUCAAGUCAGGGGUGAAAUCCUGGAGCUCAACUCCAGAACUGCCUUUGAUACUGAGGGGCUCGAGUCCGGGAGAGGUGAGUGGAACUGCGAGUGUAGAGGUGAAAUUCGUAGAUAUUCGCAAGAACACCAGUGGCGAAGGCGGCUCACUGGCCCGGUACUGACGCUGAGGUGCGAAAGCGUGGGGAGCAAACGGG